ACACUCCUGCGUGAGGCAGCAGUGGGGAAUUUUGGACAAUGGGCGAAAGCCUGAUCCAGCAAUGCCGCGUGAGUGAAGAAGGCCUUCGGGUUGUAAAGCUCUUUUGUCAGGGAAGAAACGGUGAAAGCUAAUAUCUUUUGCUAAUGACGGUACCUGAAGAAUAAGCACCGGCUAACUACGUGCCAGCAGCCGCGGUAAUACGUAGGGUGCAAGCGUUAAUCGGAAUUACUGGGCGUAAAGCGUGCGCAGGCGGUUUUGUAAGUCUGAUGUGAAAUCCCCGGGCUCAACCUGGGAAUUGCAUUGGAGACUGCAAGGCUAGAAUCUGGCAGAGGGGGGUAGAAUUCCACGUGUAGCAGUGAAAUGCGUAGAUAUGUGGAGGAACACCGAUGGCGAAGGCAGCCCCCUGGGUCAAGAUUGACGCUCAUGCACGAAAGCGUGGGGAGCAAACAGGAUUAGAAACCCCGGUAGUCCCAU
This 474-nucleotide ribosomal RNA is filed under the name uncultured organism. Its description in RNAcentral is "partial 16S ribosomal RNA". It matches the Rfam family "Bacterial small subunit ribosomal RNA", at positions 333 to 798 of the family's 1533-position model. The record is from RNAcentral.